Molecule: ribosomal RNA, 256 nt
Filed under: uncultured bacterium
Lineage: Bacteria
Description: partial small subunit ribosomal RNA
Rfam family: Bacterial small subunit ribosomal RNA
Source: RNAcentral
AGGACGAACGCUGGCGGCGUGCUUAACACAUGCAAGUCGAGCGGAAAGGCCCUUCGGGGUACUCGAGCGGCGAACGGGUGAGUAACACGUGAUCAACCUGCCCUUGGCUCUGGGAUAGCCUCCGGAAACGGGGAUUAAUACCGGACAUUCACUUUCUCCUGCAUGGGGGUUGGUGGAAAGUUUUUCGGCCAGGGAGGGGCUCGCGGCCUAUCAGCUUGUUGGCGGGGUAACGGCCCACCAAGGCGACGACGGGUAG